This 250-nucleotide ribosomal RNA is filed under the name uncultured bacterium. Its description in RNAcentral is "partial 16S ribosomal RNA". It matches the Rfam family "Bacterial small subunit ribosomal RNA", at positions 524 to 773 of the family's 1533-position model. The record is from RNAcentral.
UACGGAGGGUGCGAGCGUUAAUCGGAAUUACUGGGCGUAAAGCGCGCGUAGGCGGUUAGCUAAGUCUGAUGUGAAAGCCCCGGGCUUAACCUGGGAACUGCAUUGGAAACUGGCUGGCUAGAGUGUGGUAGAGGGUAGUGGAAUUUCCGGUGUAGCAGUGAAAUGCGUAGAGAUCGGAAGGAACACCAGUGGCGAAGGCGGCUACCUGGACCGGCACUGACGCUGAGGUGCGAAAGCGUGGGGAGCAAAC